GGCUCUGUGGCGCAAUGGACGGCGCAUUAGACUUCUAGUCAAUCUCUGAAGAAGUGAUUCAAAGGUUGUGGGUUCGAGUCCCACCAGAGUCG
RNAcentral lists this transfer RNA (92 nucleotides) under Perca fluviatilis (European perch). It matches the Rfam family "tRNA". Rfam says of the family: Transfer RNA (tRNA) molecules are approximately 80 nucleotides in length. Their secondary structure includes four short double-helical elements and three loops (D, anti-codon, and T loops). Lineage: Eukaryota; Metazoa; Chordata; Actinopteri; Perciformes; Percidae. The record is from Rfam by way of RNAcentral.